UCGAUCAUCAAACAGAAGUAGAAACUGCUUGAAAAUGAUUCUAGAACGCUUCAUGAUUGUUAAAAUAAGUUAAAUUUGCUUAAAAAACAAUUUUGAAACUUGCGAUGUUUCAACAGGAAGUUUAAAAAGCACAUGUAAAAGAAGAGAUUAACCGGUGAGAGUCGAAAUCCGUACAUGACAGAUAUCACUAUAAUACGACUUUGAAAAUAAAACAGUUCCAUCCUUUUGUAAAAGAGUCUUUAAUAUACCUAUCACAUUAAUGUUUGAAGGGUCUUAAGCUUAUACAAACCAUAUAAG
RNAcentral lists this long non-coding RNA (297 nucleotides) under Mytilus galloprovincialis (Mediterranean mussel). The record is from RNAcentral. Lineage: Eukaryota; Metazoa; Mollusca; Bivalvia; Mytilida; Mytilidae.